RNAcentral lists this transfer RNA (75 nucleotides) under Stenotrophomonas humi. RNAcentral describes it as "tRNA-Trp". It matches the Rfam family "tRNA". From Rfam's summary of the family: Transfer RNA (tRNA) molecules are approximately 80 nucleotides in length. Their secondary structure includes four short double-helical elements and three loops (D, anti-codon, and T loops). Lineage: Bacteria; Pseudomonadati; Pseudomonadota; Gammaproteobacteria; Lysobacterales; Lysobacteraceae. The record is from RNAcentral.
GGGUCGAUAGCGCAAGCAGUGCGCCCGGGCUCCAAACCCGUGGAGGUUGCGGUUCAAGUCCGUAGCGACCUGCCA